Molecule: ribosomal RNA, 253 nt
Filed under: uncultured Acidothermus sp.
Lineage: Bacteria; Bacillati; Actinomycetota; Actinomycetes; Acidothermales; Acidothermaceae
Description: partial 16S ribosomal RNA
Rfam family: Bacterial small subunit ribosomal RNA
Source: RNAcentral
CACGUAGGGCGCAAGCGUUGUCCGGAAUCAUUGGGCGUAAAGAGCUCGUAGGCGGUUUGUUACGUCUGCUGUGAAAACUGGGGGCUUAACCCCCAGCUUGCAGUGGAUACGGGCAGACUAGAGGUAGGUAGGGGAGAAUGGAAUUCCCGGUGUAGCGGUGAAAUGCGCAGAUAUCGGGAGGAACACCGGUGGCGAAGGCGGUUCUCUGGGCCUUACCUGACGCUGAGGAGCGAAAGCGUGGGGAGCGAACAGG